GUCUACGGCCACGCUACCCCGAACAAGCCCGAAUCCAUCUGAUCUCAGAAGCUAAGCAGGGUCGGGCCUAGUUAGUACUUGGAUAGGAGACCACCUAGGAAGACCAGGUGCUGUAGGUG
Molecule: ribosomal RNA, 119 nt
Filed under: Pteropus alecto (black flying fox)
Lineage: Eukaryota; Metazoa; Chordata; Mammalia; Chiroptera; Pteropodidae
Source: RNAcentral